CCUACGGGAGGCAGCAGUCGAGAAUUAUUCACAAUGGGGGAAACCCUGAUGGUGCGACGCCGCGUGGGGGAAUGAAGGUCUUCGGAUUGUAAACCCCUGUCAUGUGGGAGCAAAUUAAAAAGAUAGUACCACAAGAGGAAGAGACGGCUAACUCUGUGCCAGCAGCCGCGGUAAUACAGAGGUCUCAAGCGUUGUUCGGAAUCACUGGGCGUAAAGCGUGCGUAGGCUGUUUCGUAAGUCGUGUGUGAAAGGCGCGGACUCAACCCGCGGACGGCACAUGAUACUGCGAGACUAGAGUAAUGGAGGGGGAACCGGAAUGCUCGGUGUAGCAGUGAAAUGCGUAGAUAUCGAGAGGAACACUCGUGGCGAAGGCGGGUUCCUGGACAUUAACUGACGCUAAGGCACGAAGGCCAGGGGAGCGAAAGGGAUUAGAUACCCUUGUAGUC
RNAcentral lists this ribosomal RNA (446 nucleotides) under uncultured bacterium. RNAcentral describes it as "partial 16S ribosomal RNA". It matches the Rfam family "Bacterial small subunit ribosomal RNA", at positions 338 to 795 of the family's 1533-position model. The record is from RNAcentral.